AUACGGAGGGUGCAAGCGUUAUCCGGAUUUACUGGGUUUAAAGGGUACGCAGGCGGUAAUUUAAGUCAGUGGUGAAAGCCUACAGCUCAACUGUAGAACUGCCAUUGAAACUGAAUUACUUGAGUAUGGUAGAGGUAGGCGGAAUACAACAUGUAGCGGUGAAAUGCAUAGAUAUGUUGUAGAACACCGAUUGCGAAGGCAGCUUACUAAACCAUUACUUACGCUCAUGUACGAAAGCGUGGGGAGCGAACAGGAUUAGAAACCCCAGUAGUCC
RNAcentral lists this ribosomal RNA (274 nucleotides) under uncultured bacterium. Its description in RNAcentral is "partial 16S ribosomal RNA". It matches the Rfam family "Bacterial small subunit ribosomal RNA", at positions 523 to 796 of the family's 1533-position model. The record is from RNAcentral.